AAAAAGAGGGAUAGCUCAAGCAGAGUGGCCAGUGAAGGAGUGGAGCUUUGACUUGAGAGGCUUCAGCGAGCAGAGGCUGAGGACCAGUUCUCGGUAUUCUCAGGAGAGAGGGAGGCUGAUCAUUAAAAAUGAAAAAUAUAUUCCUAAAAAGUAAUCCAUUAAACACAAAUAUUUGGAUGGCCAAUUGGGAGAACUCAACAGCUGAUACAUUUUCCAUUCAUUAAGAAAGAAAGUGAGAUAAUGGAUAAAGACAAAUUUUUCAAAAGGUUAUGUUGGCCCUGGAAGUGUGGUGAUACUUGAAGUUGCCCAGCACAAUCCUUGCUGAUUUGAUGGAACACGGCUUAUUUCACUGAAUGUUUUGAUGUAAAC
Mobula hypostoma (lesser devil ray) is the source of this 369-nucleotide long non-coding RNA. RefSeq lists it as uncharacterized. The record is from RefSeq and is a predicted model, not a curated record. The transcript is spliced from 3 exons. Lineage: Eukaryota; Metazoa; Chordata; Chondrichthyes; Myliobatiformes; Myliobatidae.